RNAcentral lists this long non-coding RNA (3930 nucleotides) under Citrus sinensis (sweet orange). RNAcentral describes it as "long non-coding RNA (CSIN_LNC004141)". Lineage: Eukaryota; Viridiplantae; Streptophyta; Magnoliopsida; Sapindales; Rutaceae. The record is from RNAcentral.
AGUGCCAUUUAUUCGAUCUGUCACUCUCGCUUCAAUUCGUUGCUCAAUUUCUCGCGCUCAGCUUCAAUCUAUCACUCUCAGCUUGAAUUUUUCACUGUGAUGAAUCAUCUCUCUUGCUGUAUCUCUCUCUUAUGUCUUCCAAUAAUUUCGGUGAGCUCUCUCUCUCUAAUUUAAUAUAUGAUUAAAAUCUUAUCAUGUCAUUAAAUAUGCUUGAAGUUUCAGAUUAUUUUAUGGAUAUUACUUGAAAUUUCAGUUUCAAUAAUUUGAUUUUACAAUUGAGAAAUUAUUACUUGAAAUAUUGGGAUGAUUUCUAGGGAUUGAUAAUUGAAUGAUAAUUGCUAGGGAUUGUCAUUUUUUUCUUUUGAAUAGAUAGAGUUACAAUUAAGUCAUACUGCAAUAUUUCAUCUUGAGAUUCUGUUGUUCACAAAGAGAAAAAAAAUCAAAAAUUAAAAAAAAAGGUUACAUUAUCGAGCAUCAAGCAAAUGAAAAUAAUGGGGUUUGUUUUGAUGAGCUGUGAAUUGGGGCUUGUCAUUUUAUUGAAUUAUCUUCAAUAUAAGUGGAAAGGGAUUUCUUCUCUCCAGAAAAUUAUUGUAUAUUUCCUUUUAAAUUCUAGAUUCGCAUGGAGCUGAUUUUUUAUAUUUGAAUGAUUUAAUUAAAUAAUGUGCUGCUGCCUGUGGCAUGAAUUAAUGUAGUCUCGCUAGUAUUCGUGAUUUGGGGUAAUGAUCUAAUUGAACAAUUAUAUUUCUAUUAUUCUUGUAUUUGAGUCCAAUGAUAUUAUGGUGGUUUUAUGACAAUAUUCUAUUGUUUUGUGCCGCAAAUUGGCUACUGAGUUGUGUAUGUGCUGGGUAUAUGCUGUAUGUGCUUGUUGUUGAAUUUGCUUGACUUUGGAUGUGAUUCUUGCCAUGUUUAUAAGAAAUAGACGCAGGUCUUUGUGUGGUAAUGGAAUUUUCUAAGUUGCCUUACGAUAAAUCUAGAAUCUUAAGUAACUAUACUUUGUAACCUUAAACCUUUAUGUGUAAGACUUGGUGUACUUGGUUGUGAAAGAAUGUUAAAUGUUGACCUAUCUUCAUUGGUGAAGAUAAAUGAAGUUACGAGAGGUUUCUAAUUGCUAUAAUCCUGACAAUUUCUCUGGUGGACUUGUAAUAAUUUUAUUCAUGGCAUGUAAUUUGUUUUUAUCAGGAGGCCCAGUUUGCUUGUGGUCUCAAAUCUAGGGUAAUAUUUUAAAUAAGUUCUGCAAUAUAUGUGUUGCUAUUUUUUUUUAAUUGGUUUUAGUAUUAUUUGGAGGGAUAUUAUGAUCUGCUGAAGCUUAUCAAGCUGGUGCAGCAAGCAGGCCUUUAUCUUAAUCUUAGGAUUGGUCCUUACGAUUGUGCUAAGUAGAAUUUUGCGUAGGUUACAACGAAUAGUUUUUCUGAAAAAGACCUGAGAAGACGCUCUAUUUUCUUGCAUGUUUUUGAAAUGAGCAAAACUUUUCUUUCUUAUUUUCAGGGUUCCUGGUUUGCUGAAGUACAUGCCAGGUAUCAAUCCCUCUAAUAUACUAACCCUUUAUUAGGUGUAAAACAUGAUUUAAAACAAUUCAUAGCAUGAGUUCUGUCAUUAUUGGUUUCAGUGCAUUGAUUUUGAUCUUGGUUACAACCCCAUCAGCCCCUAGUCCUCAUUCCCAGCAGCCUGUAAUGCCUUUUUUUUUUUUUUAAAGCACUGUACUUUGUUUUAUGAUGAAAUUUGUUUGUAUGACACAAAAUUGAGGACAUGGUAAUAGUCAUGAUUUUAAUGUAUGCAACAAAGGUCAUUAUGUUGAAAUUAGUAUGGGAGUUAGCAUUUAUACUUUGAAUGUAUUAUAUAUUAGAUCCAAUUAUUUGAUUCAACUGAACCUUGUUUAAAAGUGCUUCUAAAUUUUCUCAUUACAAAGACUUAAGAUACUGCGGCUUGCAUGUUAAAAUAGUGAAAGUGUUUCAUGGAUUUGAUUAAUUAUGAUCUUUGUCAGCAUUGGUGAUAUACAUAUAGCAUAUGGAAGGAAAUUAUAAUUUUUUUUUCUUGUUUAUGAAUGCAAAACUUCUUUUUGAAUUUUGUAGAUAAGACACUUUAAGAUUAUCUCUACUUUGUAGGUUAUUAUUCUUGUCAAUUGCUUUGUUUGCCACACUACCAGGCUUUGCAGAGUACUUGUUGGUUUGUAUGGAUUGAGGUCUAGUGAUUUUACGUGAUAUUUCUUAAAUUGUUAAGCAUAAACAUUUUGUUUGCUUCCUCAAACGGUAUGAAUGUUCUGCGUUCAACUUCCUUGUUCGAUCAUUUGUGUUACCUCUCCAGUUUUUCAUUAUUUUUCCUUUUGUUUCUUGAGUUUCCGUAGUCUUUAACUUUUCAUUUGAAAGGAUUUUGACCUGCUUGUUACAGCGUUCUUUAAUCACGGUAGAAAAUAAAAAUACGACUUAAAGCAAUAAUUUAUAGCAGGAAUGGAAAUGGUGGAAAAUUAGAGAUUGAAAUUUUGUUAUUUUAAUUUGUUUAUCUUUGUGGCUUUACUCUAUCUUAGGAAUUGUGAAGUUUUCUACUCUAAUUUUCAUAUUAUUUUUAACCAAUUAUGUUCGUCUAAAGGUUCAAUUAUGUUUAAGUGGUAAUGUUAAUGGAAACUUCUUUUAGAGUUUUGGCUUGUGUAAAGAAGAUUUAGUUUAAUUGAAUAUUUUUUCCCAUGUAAUUGAAUAGCAUUUUUAUUUUUAUUAGGGGGGAUAUUUUAAUGAUCUAAAACUCACAUAAUCUUUAAUAUUUCAGUUGAAUUAUAGUUAUUUGAUUGUUAGAUUUAAUUUUGUUUGUUUUAUUGUUUAUUGGAUUUUUCUGCUUGUCUUAAUUCCUUGGAUUAUAGUUGUAACAUGUAAUAUAAUUCUUUUGGGAUUGAUCUUGUUUGGUUAUUCUGUUUAUUGAUGAGCUUCUUCUAUUUUCACCAUGAAAAUAUUAUAGAUAAACAAUUUCACUAGUUGAGUUUUUAGGCCUGUGUAGAUCCAACGAGGUUUAAAUGGAGACUAGGAUGUUGUUUGUGCAUUAUAAUUGUGAGAGAACCUAAGGUUAAGUGAGCUUUCAAUUUUGUCAAUUAUGAACUCAAUUAAUGUUUCCAUUUGUUCAACUAUGUUUUUCUUUUGGGUUAAGCAUAAAAAUGACAUGAAAUGGUUAGAUAAUUUUCUUGUUGAUUUUCCUAGCUGAGAGUGCUGAUUACAAUGUUAUAAGGUAUGAUUUAUUAUUUUUGUAUAUUUCAACAAUACUGGAAUGAUAGGCUUUCUCAUUUUAGCUUGAAAUUGUAUUUGUGGAUUUGUAAAAUUGAUUAAACGACAGAUGGAUUUGUUCAAUAUUCAUUUGGAUCGUACUCUUGUGCACGUGUGUUGGUUUAUAUGCAUUGAGAUAUGGUGUUGUUUAUUUGCAUUAGUUGUGUGAUGACUUUGUUUUUUGGUUUCUUAAUAUUUUUGAUUUGUUAAGCGCAAACAUUUUGUUUGGUUCCACAAAUGAUAUGAAUGUUUAGAGUUGAUCAAGGCAUCUGUUUAGUCGCUUUGCUCUUGGCUCUCCAAUUUUUCAUUCUUUUUCCUUCUAUUUCUUGAGUUUCUAUCUUUAGUUUUUCAUUUGGAGGAUUUUGAUUUGUUUGCUACCUUGUUUGUUGCAGGAGUAAAUGAAAAUAUGACAUGAAGCAAUAAUUUGUAGCAAGAAUGUAAAUACUGAAAAAUAGAGAUUGAACUCUUGUUACUUGUAAUUUCAAUUUUUUUUUUGGUACUCUAAUCUUAGGGAUUGUGGAUUAUUUUACUCCUAUUAUUUUUAUUAUUUUCCUUUGUCCAAAUUUUCAAUUAUACUCCGGUGAUUCUAUUAGUAGUCAGGCAUUUGUUAAUGAAGAUUCAGUUUAAUUGAGUACUUUUACCAAUGUGAUUCAUUUUUCUUUAGUUACAGCUGAUAUUUUUCUUGGUC